CAGAAUUUGUUAGAUGGAAAAGCGGUCUAGCAAUAGGGCACCUGAAGCAUGCAUGUGUCAUAUGCUUUUUACCUACAGAUUCCACACCGGCCGGCCAUAUCAUACGGGAUGGGAGACUCGUGCAGAUUAGAUACACUAGUAGAAAACAGGGCAUUGAGCCAACAACAUUUGACCCGGAUUGGAUAUAAACCGGUUCUAAAGGGUCUGUCCGCUGGGCCCCCUCCCUGCAGCAAAUGGCCGCAAGGCCUUUAGGACCGGUUUGUAACACAAACCGGUCCUAAAGGUUUUUGGACCGUUUGCUGCAGGGAGGGGGGCCCAGUGGACAGACCCUUUAGAACCGGUUUGUAUCACAAACCGGUUCUAAAGGUUUUCUUAUUUUUGCAGCAACUGCAGGGCCCCGCUGUCAGACCCUUUAGCACCGGUUUUUAACACAAACCGGUCCUAAAGCCCUCCUCUCCUUCCUCCCUGAGCACCCUAUAUUCCACCCCAUUUUUUCUAGCUCGAGCUCAACUCCAUUUUUGCUCUCUCCUUCCUCUUGGGAGCUCUAAUCCAUCCCCAUUUUUCUCCACCAUUUGUCAAGAUUGUUGGCACCCGUCGGUCCUACGGUUAGCAUCAACAUUCCCUCUUCCGGCAUUGCAAGUUUUGCUCGUUUUCUUGCUCAUUUCAUUUUUGUUGUGCUAGCUAGGUGUUUGAUGAAAUGCCUAAGCUAGAGAGAGUUCAUCAUUUGUUAUGUAUACAUAUGCAAUUUGAGCUCAAAUUUAAUUAUGAUUUAUGGUUUUUUUUAGUGUCGCGCGCCUUGUCCCCUUCCUCACCGCCGUCGAUCGCCCCGUCACCGACACAACCUUGGUGAGCCUAUUGUUUUUAUUUACCAAAACAAAUUUUCAUUUUCUAUGAUUCGGAUGUGGUAUAUUAUCUUUUAUAACUACAUAUUUUCAUUUUCUGAUUAUAUGACAAUUAAUUACGCCGACCAACUUGACAUAGAUAUUUUUAUCUAGGAGGUAGUGGAACCGGAAAUGCCAAUCGACCCUAUUGGUGAGAAGUUACACUUAGUUGAACAAGAAAAUGUUGGCCUGAAAGAAAGAUUGAAAAAAACUGAAGAAAGGUUGGAAAAAACUGAAAGAGAGAAGAUGACCUUGGAAAAGGUUCUUGCCGGUGUCGUCGAUGGUCACAAGAGCGAGAUGGACGCAAUGCGUCUGAAGAUUAGAAAGAUUAGAAAAUAUGCAAUUAGUAAAGAGGCUUGGUAUCAUUAUGCCGUCGGGUCAAUUGUUACCUUUGUUGCGAUUUUGAUCGCAUUUGUUGUUGUUUUUAAAUGCAUUAAUUAGAGAGAGUUUUUAUGGUUUGGUUUCAGUGUGUGUUUUUAUGAGAACUAUAUAUGUAUGGUCACUACGCUACUUUGGUUUUAACGUGUGAUGAACUUUUUGUAUUAAUUAAUCAAUUUAGUCAUGAUGAUUUAGCAUAAUGGUUUUUGAUAAAUUUAUAUAAUGCAGAUGAACCGGCAAUGGAUGUACAGUGAUCGACGUCGUCCCGAAUUCCUUAAUGGCAUGCAUAGUUUUCUCAAUGUGGCUGAGAAAAACAGGCAGAAUGGAUUUAUUUUUUGUCCAUGUAAAAAAUGCCAGAAUAAGAGGAAUUUCCCUAACUCAAGAACCAUACACACCCACCUGUUGCAAGAAGGCUUCAUGCCCAGUUAUUUUUGUUGGACCAAGCACGGAGAAAGAGGGGUUGUAAUGGAAGACAAUGAAGAAGAAGAGGAUAAUGAUAACUAUCCUAUGUUCGGUGAACACGGUGAUACUGAAAUGGGGGAAGACGAGCCUGAACUUGAGGACAUUGUUGAUGAGUCUGAUGAUGAUCUUCGUCAGGUCAUUCGUGAAGAACAGAUAAACUGCGGAAGUGAAAACGAGAGGUUGAAGUUGGAGCGCAUGUUAGAAGAUCACAAAAAAAUGUUGUACCCAAAUUGCGAAGAUGGCCAGAAAAAGCUGGGCACCACCCUGGAAUUGCUGCAAUGGAAGGCAGAGAAUGGAAUAUCUGACAAGGGAUUUGAAAAGCUGCUGAAAAUAAUGAAGAAGAUGCUUCCAAGAGAUAACGUGCUGCCCUGCAGUACGUACGAAGCAAAGAAGGUUGUCUGCCCUCUAGGAUUGGAAGUGCAUAAGAUACAUGCAUGCAUCAAUGACUGCAUCCUCUACCGCGGUCAGCACGAGAAUUUAAAUGCCUGCCCGGUAUGCGGUGCAUUUUGGUAUAAGAUCACGCGAGAUGACCCUGGUGAUGUUGAGGGCGACGACCGCCCCAGGAAGAGGGUUCCUGCCAAGGUGAUGUGGCAUGCUCCUAUAAUACCACGGUUGAAACGUUUGUUCCGAAACAAAGAGCAUUCCAAGUUGCUGCGAUGGCACAAAGAAGACCGUAAGGAAGACGAUAUGCUGAGACAACCCGCUGAUGGGUUGCAGUGGAGAAACAUCGACGAUAAGUACGAGGACUUUGCACGUGACCCAAGAAACUUAAGGUUUGGUCUAAGUACAGAUGGCCUGAAUCCGUUUGGGGAGCAGAGUAGCAGUCAUAGCACCUGGCCCGUGACUCUAUGUAUCUAUAACCUUCCUCCUUGGUUAUGCAUGAAGCGUAAGUUCAUUAUGAUGCCAGUGCUUAUCCCAGGCCCGUCGCAACCCGGCAACAACAUUGAUGUGUACCUGAGGCCACUGGUUGAUGAACUUUUAGAGUUAUGGGCUGACGAAGGUGUACGUGUGUGGGACGAGUACAAACAGGAGGAAUUUGACCUACGAGGGUUGCUGUUUGUAACCAUCAAUGAUUGGCCCGCUCUUAGUAACAUCUCAGGACAGUCAAACAAGGGAUACAGCGCAUGCACACACUGUUUAGGCGAGACUGAAAGUAUACAUAUAGGCAAGAAUGUGUACCCGGGGCAUCGUCGAUUUCUUCCAGACAGGCAUCCCGUAAGAAAGAAAGGAAAGUAUUUCAAAGGCGAGGCAGAUACACGGAGGAAGCCAACCCUCCCUAAAGGUACUGAUAUAUAUGACAUGGUCAAAGAUAUAAAAGUAAUCUUUGGUAAGGGUCCUGGCGCACAAUUUGUUCCGAAUGACACCGACAACCACGUAGCCAUGUGGAAGAAGAAAUCUAUAUUCUGGGAACUACCCUAUUGGAAAUUCCUAGAGGUUCGCUCUGCGAUCGACGUGAUGCACGUGACGAAAAAUAUUUGCGUGAACCUGCUAAACUUAUUGGGUGUGCAUGGGAAGAAGUCGAGAGAGACACCAAAAGCACGGCUGCACCACCAACGUAUGCACGAACGAGACGACCUGAUGAAUCGAGAGAAUUUCAAAGGUCCUGCCAGCUACGCUCUUACCAAGGAAGAGAAGGAGAUCUUUUUCCAAGUCCUGAGCAGUAUCAAGGUCCCGUCUGGCUACUCGUCGAACAUAAAAGGAAUACUAAACCUGGAAGAGAAAAAGUUUCAAAACCUAAAGUCUCAUGACUGCCACGUGAUCAUGACCCAGUUACUUCCGAUUGCAUUGAGGGGGCUUCUGCCAGAAAACGUGCGAGUACCCAUUGUGAAGCUAUGUGCAUUCCUCAACGCAAUUUCUCAGAAGGCAAUCGAUCCAGCAACUCUACCAAGUUUACAGAAGGACGUGGUCCAAUGUCUUGUCAGCUUCGAGUUGGUGUUCCCACCAACCUUCUUCAAUAUUAUGACGCACCUCAUAGUUCACCUAGUCCAAGAGAUUUCCGUUCUCGGUCCUGUAUUCUUACACAAUAUGUUCCCCUUUGAGAGGUUCAUGGGAGUCUUGAAGAAUUAUGUUAAAAACCGUGCUAGGCCAGAAGGAAGCAUGGUCAAGGGCUAUGGAACAGAGGAGGUCAUUGAGUUUUGUGUUGAGGUCAUUGAGUUUUGUGUUGACUUUAUUCCUGACCUGAACCCGAUCGGUGUUCCUCAGUCGCGCCAUGAGGGGAGACUGCGUGGAAAAGGCACGCUAGGAAAGAAAUCAACAACAUGUAUGGACGAGCAAUCUUUCACUCAAGCACACUACACAGUUCUAGUUAAUUCCAGCUUGGCGGCUCCAUAUAUCCAGGAACACAAGGAUAUUUUACGCUCGGAAUACCCGGAGCAACCUGAAGAUUUCAUUGCUAAAGAACACGCGAAGACUUUCGGCGGUUGGUUGCAAAGACGUCUCAUUAAUGACAACAUUGUUGAAGAUGAGCUAUACUUGUUGGCCAAGCAACCAUCUUCGACUGUAUUGACCUUUAAAGGGUACGAGAUAAAUGGUAACACAUUUUACACGGCAGACCAAGAUAAAAAGAGCACCAACCAAAACAGUGGCGUCCGGUUUGAUGCAAAAGACGACAACGGGCAAAGGGUCACAUACUAUGGUUACAUAGAGCAGAUAUGGGAACUUGACUACGGACCUUCCUUUAAGGUCCCUUUGUUCUGGUGCAAAUGGUUCAACCUGUCAGGCGUGAAGGUAGACCCGAAGUACGGAAUGACACCAGUGGAUCAGAAGAAUCUUGGGUACGGGAAUGAUCAAUUCGUCCUAACCAAUGAUGUGGCUCAGGUUUUCUAUGUGAAGGACAUGUCUAGCAGACCGAGAAAAAGAAAAGAUAAGGAAGCGAAUACAUCAGACGAUGAGCCAAGGCGCCACAUAGUUCUUUCAGGGAAAAGAAACAUCGUGGGAGUCGAGGACAAGACAGACAUGUCAGAAGAUUACAAUAAAUUUGAUGAAAUUCCUCCCUUCAAAGUCAAAGAUGAUCCAAGCAUCCCGUUAAAUGAUGAAGAUAGUCCAUGGUUACGGCGCAAUCAGAAGAAAGGUAAGAAGAAAAAUAGAUAGGGGGUGUUGUUGGUGAUGUGUAAUAAUGUAUUAAACCUUUUAUGUAAUUGUGUUGACCAUUUUGAUAAAUAUUAAAAAUUUGACCAGUUUCCACUAAAUUUGAUCAUUUUGAUAAAUAUCAUUUUUUAUUUUUUAAGUGUAAAAAUGACAUUUUGACAAUUUGUAAAUAAAUGUAAAAAAAACAGAAAAGGAAAACANNNNNNNNNNNNNNNNNNNNNNNNNNNNNNNNNNNNNNNNNNNNNNNNNNNNNNNNNNNNNNNNNNNNNNNNNNNNNNNNNNNNNNNNNNNNNNNNNNNNNNNNNNNNNNNNNNNNNNNNNNNNNNNNNNNNNNNNNNNNNNNNNNNNNNNNNNNNNNNNNNNNNNNNNNNNNNNNNNNNNNNNNNNNNNNNNNNNNNNNNNNNNNNNNNNNNNNNNNNNNNNNNNNNNNNNNNNNNNNNNNNNNNNNNNNNNNNNNNNNNAACCUUUAGGACCGGUGUGUAACAACAACCGGUCCUAAAGGUGACCUUUAGGACCGGUCUGUAACAACAACCGGUCCUAAAGGUGGGUUCGGUUCGCGCCCGAAUUUGGACCCUUUAGCACCGGUCUGUGUUAGCAACCGGUGCUAAAGGGUCUUUAGCACCGGUUGUUAACACGGACCGGUGCUAAAGGCCCUAUACCUCUCCGGGGUCGCCAACUUCUCGCCUUCCCGCGCGUGCCUUCUCUCCUUCUCUCGCCUCCUCGCCGCAACGUCGCCUCCUCGCCGCCUCUUCGCCGCGCCGUCGUCAAAGGUAUAUCCAUAUUUUCGUAUAUUCACGUAAGGACAUCCUAUAAAAAAAAGUUACGUGAAGCCGCCUUCAUCAUAUUCCGACGAUUCCGUAAAACCCUAAACCGACGAUUCCGACGAUUCCGACGAUUCAUAGUUUACCCUAAACCGACGAUUCCUUCGAUUCCGUAAAACCCUAAACCGACGAUUCUGACGAUUCAUAGUUUACCCUAAACCGACGAUUCCGACGAUUCCGUAAAACCCUAAACCGACGAUUCAUAGUUUACCCUAAACCGACGAUUCCGACGAUUCCGUAAAACCCUAAACCGACGAUUCCGACGAUUCAUAGUUUACCCUAAACCGACGAUUCCGUAAAACCCUAAACCGACGAUUUCGUAAAACUUUCCGACGAUUACAAUUCCGUAAAACUUUCCUACGAUUCCGACGAUUCCAUAACUGCGGGGAAAGUUUCCGACGAUUCCGACGAUUCCGUAAAACUUUCCGACGAUUACAAUUCUGUAAAACUUUCCUACGAUUCCGACGAUUAAUUCCAUAACUGCGGGGAAAGUUUCCGACGAUUCCGUAAAACUUUCCGACGAUUCCGUAAAACUUUGCGAUGAUUACGACUCCGACGAUUCCGUAAAACUUUUCCGUAAAAUUUCCGGUUCCGUAAAACUUUUCCGUAAAUAAUUUUGCUAAGUUAAAUUCUUGUUACUAGCAGGUGUUGAGCUAUGGAUCCCCAAGAACCACAUGAUCAGCACGCCGAUCAGCUCGCGGAAAUGGGUGAGGCGGAGAAGGAAAGAUACAUGUGCCAGAUGAUUUUUGAAGAUGCAACGGCCAUAUAUCAUGAUGACGACGGUGGGCAUGCGUUUAGCAAUCAAUUUUUGAACGACUCCGGUGACGGAGCUGAGAAUAUAGAAGAUGUAGUAGAUGAAGAAGUGCCCUCCGGAACAAACUCUGCCAAUGUAUAUCUCAAGUCACUGUUGACGCAACAAUUAAUUUGUAUUGCACUUACUAACGAAUCAUUAUUCUCCCGUUUAGGUGCCCUCCGGAACACCUAGCGCAAGUACUGAGACAAAGUCGAAACGAGGCCCGGCCGCAAGGUUGAAAGAUACUGCAAGGUACUCGAUCGAUAAAGUUGCUGCUGAUGGCAAACCACUGGAACCCCCAGAAACUUAUCGCAAAUUUGUAAAUCAGUGCGGAGUUGUUGUAAGAGACCUGGCCCCGAUCAACUUAAUAGAAUGGAAUAAGCCGAAGACCGGCGCCAACGUUGGAGCUACUUAUGUCGAUGACAGAUUGAAAAGAGUGCUUUGCGACACGGUCUGGCUAAAUUUCAGCGUAGCGGAAGAUAAGAAGAAGAAAGUCGAGGAGUGGGCUUUGAAGAAGAUGGCCACACAAUUCCAGAGGUGGAAGAAAGACUUGUGGAAGAAAUAUAAGGACGAAGAUCCAUUUUUCACUGGGCACCUAGUGAAGAUAAGAGACGCUUGGCCUGAUUUUAAGGCGUACAAGAAAUCGGGUGUCUUUACAUCCCGAUCAGCCACAAAUACGGAGAAUGCGAAGAAGAAGAAAUAUCACCAUAUUUUGGGGUCAGGUGGCUACAUGACUGCCCUGCCUAGGUGGCGACGCUAUGAAGAUGCGCUUCUGAAAAGAAAUAUCAUUCCACAGACACAUGACUGGCCCGAUAGGUCCAAGUUCUGGUUGUUCGCGCAUGGGGCAACGUUGGACGCUGAGACUGGGAUGAUUGUUGCGGAGGGACCAUGGUCGGAAAAAAUAAGACAAGUCGUAUCAGAUCUAGAGAAGGCAAUAGAAGCUGUUCGAAAAGGAACUUUUGUUCCCGAUAGAGAGAACGACGAGUUGACGAAGGCACUCGGGAACCCCGAAAAGUGGGGACGAACACGAGGCUUUGGAGCCACUACCCCGUGGAACCAAGGGUUUCCGGCGGACCUUGGCACUUACAGAAGCCGUGGUAGAAGCAAGAGGAAGGCGCUGGAACGGAUAGCGACAUUAGAAGAAAAGGUGUCGUUUCUCUUGAAGAAAGGGGGACACCCUGUACCUGACACUGAAGAGGAGGAAGAAGAUCCUGCACCUGACGCUGAUAGGCAGCAAUUAGAAGACGAUCCUGUAGCAGAUGCCGUCCCAUCUCAGCAUGGAAGCAGCGUGGGUUCCACGCAGCUGCAGCUAGAAGACGGUCCUGCAGUCGAACCGUCGGCGCCUCACUACCCCGUGGAUGAUGUCACGGAGAAGACAAACUGUGAGAUACAUAUGCCAAUGGGGAACAUAUCCUUCAUGGUGGCGUCAGGCUAUGCUUUACCGAAUCAACCUGGAGCAACCUACCAUGGUGGUCAGAUUCCAGCAUCCCAUGCUCGUGUCGGGUUGUCAACAAUUACGCCGGGAUGCCAGUCAAUUGGGCUUGAUAUUCCUGGCGGCGAGGUGAGAAGACACUGGAAGAAACACAUCGUGUUUCCUAAUGCGGCGCCAAGGCCACCGACUCCUCCAGGUACAAUUAUGCACCACCUCCAACAAUUACUGAAUGUUGCACCACAUGUAAGCCUAUUUUUAAUAGUUUUUUCACUUUCGUACAGAGAAUGCACGACCUCCAAGUCCACCCCCCAACGCACCUCCAAGUCCACCCCACAACGAAGAUAGGGAGCCCGAGGCCGAGUGUCCAUCGCCCGUGCACUCCAGUGAGCCGACGGAUGCGCGCACUACGGGUACGGCAAAGCGGAAGCUGCAGUUCAGAAGAAACGGGAGUCCUCCCAAGAAGAGAGAAAGGAAACCCAAUAAAGUCAAGACUCCCCCGAAGUUACCAGGCCUGAUGACUCCGGAGGAACUAGACGAGGCCGUGAAAGCCAAAAACAAAGCAUGGUUCGCACGGUUUCCCCUGAAGCCCCCUCCAGACAUCUGUAAGGAAACUCUGAAGAACGUACCAAAGUGGAAAAUUGAGCGCACCAUCGACAACUUAUAUUAUCCUGAACCGCCGCCACCGCCGCCCCUUUCAGACUAUGAACGGUUCAUUGAAAAGAUGCACACCGCACAGAUGAAGCAGGUGGAGCAGAUGAAGCAGGCGGAGCAGACGAAAUGCGGGAAACAAGUUCCCCAGCUCGGACAACAAGAAGCACAGUCAAUUGCCCCGCUCAAGGUGUUAUCUGACCAGGCUUCAGUGUCCGGUCCACGCAUGGGCGACGUAGGUUACGCUAUUGCUGAUGUGGUAUAUAAAUAUAAGCCCGAGCAGCCUCUGGUCGAAAAUCCUAGUGCUCUAACAACCCAACUAUGGAAUUUACAUGGUUGGUACUUGGAGGCCGCAAGGCAAAAGAGAGACUGUAUCAUGGCGGCAGUUCAAGAUCAACACUACUUCGGAGAGUACGGUGUGGAGGUUGGGUUCGAUGAUUUUUUCCAGAUGUACAAUCAACGUGCCCUCGACAAAGCUAUCGUCAGCUGCUACUGUUUGUAAGUGAUUUAUUUGUGUAAUUUAAUUAUUUAGUUAAGCUCGCGUUCAUUGCCCGUAUAAUUAUCACUCAUGAGACAUUCUUUUUGUACGCUACUAUGCAGAAUGAAGAUUCGUGAAUGCAGGCUGGCAGGAAUCUGGGACUUUGGGUUCAUUGACCCGUAUUCGUUUCAUCAAGAGACAAUAGAAAAGUUCAACAAGGAUACACCGGAUGAUUUGCUAAGGUUUUUGAAGCGACAAAGUACCAAAAAAAAAUACUUUGGCCCUACGCAUUCAAGUGAGUGUUACUGUCUUGUACACAUUCCAUUUUGCUUACCUGAUGUUAAGUGUAAUUGAUGAGUAUGCAUGACUGCGUGUGUACAUGUGCGCAGGUCCCACUUCAUAUUGUUCAUCAUUAGAAUCGAUCAAGGAGUGGUUGAAGUCUGGGACCCGUUAACCUGGGACGCUGACAAAUGGAAGAGCGCGUGUCAGAUGCUUCAAAGGUAUAUAUAUAUCGGCCUCUUUCGUUCAUCGGCCUCUUUUUCGUUCAUUUCCUGAUAUCAAGUAAGUAAUAAUUAACUCUUGUAUUCAUUUUUCUUUGUCGGCCAGGGUUUGGCAAAUGUUCAUCAAGGAAGAACCCGGUACAUGGGCAGACAAGCUCCACUUUCAGAUUAACAAAGUAAGUAGUACUACGUACCCUGGUUUCAAUACCAUUACCAUUCUCUUGAUUAUUAUUAAUUUGACUGAAUUAUGUUCUCGUAUAUAGGGCAUCCCGCAACAACCACAGGGCACUGAUUAUUGUGGAUACUACGUUUGCGAGUACAUUCACAGGAUUAUCAAUGAGAAAUCCCGUACUUCCAGAAAUCUAGAGGUACGUAACCGGAUCUUCAUAACUUUAUUUAUGUUGCCAUCAAUUAUGUUAGUUUUGUUCAUAACUUAAUUGUUUUCAUCUACUUCUUUUAAAGCUGCAACGAAAGCGGGCGAUGCUAAGACCAAUCCAACGUUGCAAGGCAGUUGCAGAGGAAUUGGCAGGAUUUCUCCUCACGCAAGUCAUAGAUGAAGGCGGAGAAUUUUUCCAUCCUAUGAACCAAUAGCCAGCUCCCUUCUCUAUGCAAGUAUAGAGCUAUAUAUAGGAAACGAACUUCAAAUUAUGUAAUGAUAAUCGAUCCAGUAUUUCGUGUUACAUGUAUAUAUGUACUUUUAUUUGGUGCAUCAACAUUUAACCGCAAACACGGAAUCGGAGAAACACUUAACCGCAAACACGGAAUCGGUGUUUCCGGAUACGUGUUUCCGAUUACGUGUUCGUAAAAAACGGAACACGGACACACGGAAUCGGAAACACGGAAUCGGAAAGACGUAAACGGAAAUACGAAACCGGAAACACGUAAACGAAAACCCUGAAAAUACGGACCACGGAAACACCGAAAUACGGAAUCGGAAACCCUGAAAAGAAAAGGAAAAAAAANNAAAAAAAAAAGAAAAAAAAAGCAUUAGGACCGGUUGGUGUUACCAACCGGUCCUAAAGGUCCUCCGCCUGCGCGCACUUUUCGACGCCCACGUGGAGGCCUUUAGCACCGGUUUGUAAGAGACCGGUGCUAAAGUGGGGGGCCUUUAGUCCCGGAUACGUAGCACCGGAUGUGUAUCCGGGUCCAAAGGCCCUUACCAACCGGUUCUAAUACCCCUUUCUCCACUAGUGAUAUAUAUGCAUGACAAGACGAUGUACGCACGAGAAACGAGGGGAUAUAUGCAUGACAAGGAGAUAUAUGCAUGAAAAAUGACGGAUCUCUGUGCCACUGUGAUGUGAUAUGUACAUCUCUCUCUAUACAUAUCUUUCCUCUGAGAUAACACGUCUUCACAACUUCAAAACAUUGCCAUCAUAUCCUUCGUGUUCUGCAAAUUUAGCAAUUGUGAGAUUUCGGAGGAGACCAAAUGCAGACCAAUGCUGCAGUUUGCUUUUAUCCAAUAGCUGCUGGAAUACAAACAAGUUUAAUUUCAAGUCUUUUAUAGACUUGAACACAUGUACCUAGCUUACCGGUCUAGAUCGAGCCCGGUGCUGAGAGGGUGAAUGCUCAGAAGUUUCCGAAGGGAUGGUACAACUCAGUCCACUGAGGUUGAUCAACAUCACGCCCCUGCAAUGAGGACGGUGAUCAUUCAGGGUGGGCGGGACGAACGGGCUAUUCGACCCACUCGUGGCCUGUUGGGUCUUUGCUCGCUCGGUCAUGGCCCGAUGAAAUAUUUAGACAGUCCAAUUUUGAAAAUAAGUUUCGACAAACACUCGGUCCAAUGCAAAUUUUGACCGAGCGUCUGAACAGUACCAACCAAACACAAGAGCCGUGUCCUUUGUCUUCGGCCACCGGCACCCGCAAGUGAACCACUAUGUCUCCGAGCAUCGUUAGAUUGUCCUCGUCUUGCCUGCAUGAUGAUUUGGGCUGGAACGCCACCUGCACGACGGGCCCCACAACAGUGUAGCCCGUGCACCCACGCGCGCAUCGCAUGAACUGCGUCUCCUUGCCCACGACUUCGACGAACAUGUUAGUGGAAUUUUUGUCUAAAAAGACCACUAGCCAAAUGUUAUUGUUAAAAAGACCACAUGCGGUAUGAAAUGAAACAAAAGAUCCCCAUUUUUUAUGGCGACAAGCGCGCCAGGUGACGCGUGACACCUGCCGCCACGGGCCGAGGCGGCUGGGCCCCGCCGCCACCCGGCUAGGCGGCCGGCCGUGCAGGUGGCACCUGUCGCCNAAUGAGUGUCUUUUCUCUUAUUUCAUACCGCAUGUGGUCUUUUUUAACAAUAACAUUCGGCUAGUGGUUUUUUUGACAAAAAUUCCAUUUUAGUAUCCGGCGUCUAGUGUGCGCUGCACCGUCUCGUUUGUCAGGACGAGCUUCAUGAGGGUGGAGACGCUACCAUAGAUGAUCUUCUUUUUCGUAUGCUGCAAGCAGCCCGAGGAGUUACUAUUUAGGAUAGGGCAGGCCACGGCAUACAGAGCACGCACUCAGCUCACGCUCCCCCGCAGGCGCUCCGGACGGCUUUCGCCUCGCCGGUCUGCUCCGGACGGCUCAGUGGUGCCCGAGGGACGCCUCAACACCAUGCCGUACAGCGAGAACGCUUACUUGCUCACCCUUGGGAUCAUGCUCCACCUGGACCUGGUGCGCCGUUCGCCGAGUGGCUCCGUGCAUGCAUGGCAUGCGUUGCCGAGGCUUGUGGCCAUGUUAGCAGAUACUGACGUCGAGGGGUGCCAGUGUGACCAGUUCCAAUCUUUUGCAAUCUGAGAAAGGUAAUAAGAAUGCUGCUUCAGGGAGUUGUUUUUUUUCUUUUCAAAUGGAGGAUAACCCCGGCCUCUGAUCAAGCAAUGCACACAGCAACUUUCUGUAUGUUUUUCAACAGAACAUAACAAAUACAUAGAUCAACUCCGAGCCACCUUCUCACGCUCUAAAUCGCAAGACCUGCUCUGGGUGAUGGGCCUUGUACGCGCCAACACACGCCAUGUAAUCCGGUGGUCUUCCCAAGCCUUAGUACGCAUCGUCAAUCGGUCUAGCUGACCGUCAACGUGCACCACAUGAGGCGUAAGAGAGGGCAUGUUAAAAUUUGCCCCCAAAUAAUAACAUUUCCCCAUCUUUUGGAUCAGUUUUGUUACUAGUACGGUAGUACCAGCNAGGCGUAAGAGAGGGCAUGUUAAAAUUUGCCCCCAAAUAGUAGCAUUUCCCCAUCUUUUGGAUCAGUUUUGUUACUAGUACGGUAGUACCAGCACCAUAUUUCGAGGACCCUGCCGUCACAGUUAAAGUGCCCAAGGAUUGCACCAACGACAUCAAACCUUUAGUGAGUACAUCAUUCUUCAGUCGACUAUUCUCCAUGCAUGCUAGUUCGAUUCCCCUUUUGAUGGUUUCCUAGUGAUCAAGAAGUGUUUGAGAUUGGACAGAAGCACUGCAAGUGAAGGAAUGAGCUCGUAUUGCCUUGAUGUAUUCAAUCCCUCUUGGGUGCUUAUAUACAGUUACAGAGGGAGAGAUAAGAGGCCACAACAGCCACGAUGGGCAUGGCCCUGCAUGGGAGUCGUGGCUAGUGGCAUGUGAUAUGCAUGGGUUGGUUGAGAUCCAAGAGAGCCGGUUGUGCGGUCAGCUAGGGGCCCAACAGGCAUGCGACGUGUUCCAACACGGGGGGGGGGCCCCCAGCCACAACGUGGGGAGCUCGAAUGUUGAGGCUGGUGCGGAACUCGUUGAAGAGGGAGGUCGGAAGCCCUUUGGUGAAGAUGUCGGCGAACUGGGAGCUCGUAGGAACGUGCUGGACACGCACUUCGCCAAGGGCCAUGCGCUCGCGGACGAAAUGAAGGUCGAUCUCCACAUGCUUCGUGCGUUGGUGCUGCACCGGGUUGCUGGACAUGUACAUGGCGCGCACAUUGUCGCAGUAGACGACGGUUGCACGUGCAGGAGGCUGAUGGAGCUCGCCGAGGAGGUGACGAAGCCAGGCGGACUCGGCAACGGCGUUGGCGACGGCGCGGUACUCGGCUUCGGCGCUGGAGCAGGAGACCGUGUUCUGCUGCUUCGAGGACCAGGUGAGCAGGUUGGGACCGAGGAAGACGCAGUACCCCGAGGUAGAUCGUCGAGUGUCGGGGCACCCGGCCCAAUCGGCGUCCGAGUAUGCAACAAGAUCCGAAGCAGUGGAGCGAUGGAGUUGCAGACCGAGGUGCACCGUGCCGCGAAGGUAGCGCAGGAUGCGCUUGACGACCUGGUAGUGGGCGUCGCGAGGCGCGUGCAUGAAGAGGCAGCACUGCUGCACCGCGUAGGACAAGUCCGGGCGCGUGAGCGUGAUGUACUGGAGCGCGCCGGCGAGACUCCGGUAGAGCGUCGGGUCGUGGAAGAGUGGCCCAGCGUCGAUGGAGAGCUUGGAGAGCGUGUCGACCGGCGUGGAGAUGGGCUUGCAGUUGAGCAUGCCGGCGCAAUCGAGGAUCUCGAGGGCGUACUGUUCCUGGGAGAGGAAGAGCCCAGCGUCGGUGGUGGUGACGUUGAUGCCGAGGAAGUGGUGCAGGAGACCGAGGUCCGUCAUGGAGAACUCAGUAUGAAGCGAGGCGAUGAUGUGCUGAAGAAGCCCGUCGGAGCUGGCGGUGAGGAUGAUGUCGUCCACGUACAGCAGCAGGUAGACAAGGUCACGCCCACGCCGGAGGAUGAACAACGACGAGUCGGAGCGAGACGCGGUGAAGCCGAGCGUGCGGAGGAAGGCGGUGAAGCGCGAGAACCAGGCGCGCAGAGCCUGCUUGAGGCCGUACAGGGAGCGGUUGAGGCGGCACACGCGCGACGGGUGAGCGGAGUCGACGAAGCCGGCCGGUUGCUGGCUGUAGACUGUCUCGCGCGAGGUGCCCGUGGAGGAAGGCGUUCUUCACGUCCAGCUGGUGAAUGGGCCAGGAGUGCCCGGCGGCGAUGCUGAGUACAGUCCGAACAGUGGCCGGCUUGAUGGCGGGGCUAAAAGUCUCGCCAUAGUCGACGCCGGCUUGUUGCGUGAAGCCGCGAAGGACCCACCGAGCCUUGUAGCGAGCGAGCGUGCCGUCGGUGUUGAACUUAUGGCGGAAGAUCCAUUUUCCGGUCACCACGUUAGCACCUGCAGGACGAGACACCAAACACCAUGUAUCGUUCCUCAUUAGAGCAUCAUAUUCCUCAAGCAUGGCGUUGUACCAGUUGGGGUCUUGGAGAGCAACGCGGUAGGAGGAUGGGAUGGGGCUAAUGGAAGGAAUGGUGGUGUGCAGGGAGACGAUCUGUUUGGGGAGGGACAUGCCGGACUUGGCCCGCGUGCGUAUGGCGUGGGUGUUGGUUGGCGGGGCGACGGGAACAGACCCAGGGGGAGGCGCGCUGGCGCUGCUGGGAGGAGCGGCCUGGGUGUCGGGAGCGGCUGGAGACGAGCCACGGGGCAAGGGGGGAGGCUGCAUGGGGGUGUAGUGGUGGGGCCCGCCGGAGGGGAACUGCAUGGCGGUAUAGUCGUGGGGCCCGCCGGAGGGGGACUGCAUGGCGGGGUAGCAGCGGGGGACGUGGGAGGCGCGCUGCAUGGGCUCGGGGGAGGUGCGCUGCGUGGGCGUGAGGAUGGGGGGUUGGUUGAACAGCGGGCAUGGGACCAGCGGGCAUGGGACCAGCGGGAGUUGGUUGGCUGGGAACUGCAUGGCGCUGCAUGGGUGGGUAGCGAGGCGCGGGUGUAGGAGGCGGGGCGCUACGUGCGGGGGAGGCGGUGCAGCCGCUGGUGACGUAGCGGAGAAGUAAGGAAAGACAGUUUCGCCGAACACAACGUGCCGGGAGAUGAUGACACGACGAGAGGCGAGAUCUAGACAACGGUAGCCUUUGUGUUCGAGGGCAUACCCGAGGAAUACGCAGCGAACGGCGCGAGGCGCAAGCUUGUGUGGGCUGGUGGCGUAGGUGUUAGGGAAACAUAGGCAACCGAAGAGCCGAAGGUGGUCGUAGGAAGGGUGGCGGCCGAGCAGGCGAAAGUGAGGUGUUUGAUGCGCGAUGGCAGACGAUGGGCGGCGGUUGAGGACAUGUGUUGCCGUAUGGAGUGCCUCGACCCAGAACUGUUCCGGGAGGCGAGCAUGGAUGAGCAAGACACGGAGGAUGUCAUCCGUCGUGCGAAUGAGGCGCUCGGCCUUGCCGUUUUGGGGCGAUGUGUGGGGGCAAGACAUGCGGAAGGAGGCGCCAUGGCGGGAGAAGAGCGAGCGGAGAGGUGUGGUGAGGAACUCGCCGCCGUUAUCGCAUUGCAUGGUGACAUGGAACUGCGUCUAGACGUAGGCAAAGAAGCGUGUGAUUGUGUCUGUGGUGUCGGACUUGUUCCGGAGGGGAAAGGUCCAGGAGUAGUGAGAGAAAUCAUCAAGUACCACGAGGUAAUAUUGAAAACCAGAGAAGCUACACACGGGCGAGGUCCAUAGAUCACAAUGUAAUAAUUGAAAUGGUGUUGUUGUAACAGAAGUAGAGGAAGAAAACGGCAGUCGAGGCUGCUUGCCUAAUUGGCAUGAGUUACAAAUGCUACGGGGGCUCACGCCAGGAGUACAUGAGGGAAGAAAAUCUUUAGCUAAAAUGGAGAUGGAGUUAUUGCUCGGGUGGCCGAGGCGAAGAUGCCACAGGGUGUCGACGACGGAGAGUGCAUGUUGGACGCCGGAGUUGCCAAAGAAGGGGUACAGGUCGCCGUGGCUAGUGGACCUCAUCAUGACACGCCCGGUCGCUAGGUCCUUCACAGUGAAACCAUAUGGGUCAAAUGUAAUGGAACAGAAGUUGUCAAUGGUAAAACGACGAACGGAGAUGAGGUUGCGGAUGAUGGAGGGGGAGACGAGGAUGUCGUUGAGGGUGAAGGAACCCAAGUUGGUGCGACCGACGGCGGUGAUGGGAAUACGGGAGCCAUCCCCAACGGUGAUGCCAGAGGAGUGAUGCGCUAGGGGGGAAGAACAUGAGGUGAGGGUGGACGUCUUACCGGCGACGUGGGAGGAGGCACCGGUGUCUAGGAUCCAGUCCUGGGCGCCGGCAUGCUACUGUUGCUGGAGCGACAGGUUGUGGAGCGCGGCGUUGAGGUUGUGGUACUGCUCCCAAGAGGGGCCGCCAGCGGCCAGGGGCGCCGUGGUGUACGCGUGAUGCGGAGGGGGCGGGCGAGGCCCGAGGACGUCGGCCGCGUUGGGGGCGGACCUCGGCGUGCGAGGCUGGGGCGGCUGGGGAGGGAAGGGGGCAUCCCAAGGGGCGAAGUAGCCCAGCCAGGGAUGAGCGUUUGUCGAGGCAGGCGUCAGAGCACUGUGGCCGCCUGCCGUGGGGUUGCCCGAAGGGGAGCUGCGCCCGCCGCCGCGCCCACGGCCUCUCCCGCGCGAGCUUUUGUCGCCAGGAGGGGAGGACGCGCCCCCCUUGCUCUUGUCGGUGUUGGGAGCAACGGCGGGGUCGGACGCACGUCCAACGGUGAGCGCAGUGGAGGGCGAGCCGCCUGAGCCGCCAGUGUGGCCAUCCAUGCAUGCCCGUUCGUUGGCGGACAGCUCCUCCAUGAGCAGACGAGAGCGGGCCUGGAUGAACGUGGGGAAGGGGUGCUGCAUCGUCAGGAGGGUUGCCAUGACGUGGAAACGGCGGUUGAGACCGCGGACGAGCUGGAGGGUGAGCGCUUGGUCAGAGAUGGGGGCGUCGGCGUCGCGGAGCGCAUCGGCCAGCGCCUUGAGCUGCCGGCUGUACUCGGCGAUGGAGAGGUCGCCUUGCAGGGUGUUGCGGAACUCCGCCUCGAGAAUGAUGGCACGCCCCGGCUGGUUGUCGCGGAACAACAGGUGGAGUUGAAGCCAUACGUCGUGCGCCGUGUGCUCCGGCGACAUCACCACAUCCUGGAGGUCCUCGGCGAUCACCUCGUAGAGCCAGAGAACGACGGUGAUGUCUUCAUUGCGCCAGACGGCGGAAGCGGCUGCGGGAUCGGCGGCGAUGUCGAGAUGAUGUUGCACGUUGUGCUUGCAGCAGAUGAAGUAGAAGAGUUGACGCCACUUGGAGUAGUUGCCGGUCUCCAGCUCGAGCUUGCGGGGGUAGUGAUGGGCGAUGGAGGCAGGGAGGCCGGCGAGGGCGGAUGGGCCAGCGUCAGCGUCGGCGUUGCCGGGGGCGCCGAGGGUGAGGCGCGGGACGAGCUCGCUGCCGGCAGUACGGAGGGUGGUCGCAGGCAGCUGGGAGAGAGCGGUGCGGGGAAGAGGAGCGCCGCGGGCGGGAGUGGCGGAAGAGGAACCCGUCGGAGGGGCGGGGAGGCCGUCGAAGGGGUGCGAGCUACGGGAAGAGGGGCGAGGGGGUUGCUGGGUGUGUUGUCGAAGUCGGCGGAGCGGCUGCAACGGAAUAGACGAUUCAUGGCGGAAGCGAGGAUCGAAGUCUGAUACCAAGUGAAGGAAUGAGCUCGUAUUGCCUUGAUGUAUUCAAUCCCUCUUGGGUGCUUAUAUACAGUUACAGAGGGAGAGAUAAGAGGCCACAACGGCCUCGAUGGACAUGGCCCUGCAUGGGAAUCGUGGCUAGUGGCAUGUGAUAUGCAUGGGUUGGUUGAGAUCAAAGAGAGACGGUCGUGCGGUCAGCUAGGGGCCCAACGGGCAUGCCACGUGUUCCAACACUGCAAACUCCUGCACCUCGAGGAGUGUGUGGAAAAGAGAGCUGAUGAGUCCAUCUGUUGGAGCUUCAACCAAGACCGGGUAAUGGUGAUAGGGACCUACCACAACUGUGUCGACAAUGACAAUUGUGAGAAUCUUCAGAAGGGCGUCGACAGAUAACACGGCUCUUCUGCUGAAACAUAACCAGAUCAAACAAGACUUUGUUGCCAGAGACACCUUGAAUGGCUCGCUAUCAACUGACCACUCUCUAUGAGCUUUAGGUGUAUAUUUGUGUUGUAUUUUUUGAUCAUGGGUACUUGUGAUCUCCAUCUCCAUCAUUUGACAGUUGCAUCGCUCAUACCCUUAGAAGGCAUAUCGUUUGAAUCGACAACAGCCUCACUAGCAUCGUUGUAUGAGCCAAUCUCGUCUCCAUGCAGCGCUGCACCUUCAAGGUGACGCCAAUCACGGGAGUGCUCUUCACCCAUGACGCCAGUUGUGGGUUUUGAAGAAAUGAAAUUUUCGCGGUCUAGGCGAGCCUCAAGGAUUAAAACAACAACCGUUUCUACAACAGCGAUAUCUCCUACAGACAACUUUCCCCAGCUCUAGUACAACAAUAUGCCUGAAGUGAAAGGUCAGGUGGAGCUUACCCUAAUUUGGCUUCCUCCAAGAAGAACUCCAGACAUCCAUGGCGAUCCGUCGCACACACAGCUCCCGCACGAAGGCGAUGAAUAGCCUAGCGACACCGAAAAGUUACUCACCGUCGAAGUUUUGUUUUGUUUUGAAGGAACCGUCAAAUCAAAUUAUAAAAUAAAUAAACCCCCCCCCCCCCGCUAUAUGCAGGCUCGCGUGGCCCAAUCAAAACAUUAUUAAUCACCCACCAGCCCACCUACUGACGCGACACUAAACCCGGCCUAGUAGGUACAUAACACAUGUAACAGCUCGGCGCCACUAUUAUGCCUCCAUAAUUUUUUGAGUUUUUUUUAUCUGUGCGAACUUGAACAUGUCCCCAUUGUUUACCCAUGCUGAUUUUUCCCAUUUUACUCAAUGGGUAAGAUACCCUUAUGGUGAUGUUUGCUUGUAUAAGGAUAGUGUAAGAGUCGCUCACCAUUUGCCAAAAACAAACAUUCAGAAAAUCACAUGAAUCAAAUGCACAUCAUACUAAUAAAAUUUUAUGUUGAUGAUAUUAGAAAGGUUCUAUAUUGAACACACGAUUCGUUUUUCCGAAAAGGCCAUUCUCAAAACACAUUAGUUAGCAAACAUAUGUGUGUUUUGAUCUUAAUACCUUCUUGGCAACCUCUUUUCUACAAAGGAAUUAUGGCUUUGAUGUGUGAUAAAGUUUUAAAAGAUCCUAUAUACACGCACUCAACAUUGUUAACCAAUGAUACUCCGUCAAACCCGGGGCACAUUCGCCACUGAGCCAAAAAUAUCGCUUCCAUGUGCUACCACCAUGUCAUGUUUAUGUGGGGAGCAUCCUUUCCCUCCUGAUCACGAACACCCCACCCUCCCGCCGGCUUUAAUUCCAACACUCGAUAAAUGCAAGAAUAGAAAGAACAAUCUCAAACCACCUACGUAUCAUAUUUUGAUUUUGUUUUCUCAAUUAUAUUUAAAUUGCAUAAAAGAAAAACACCCGCUUAAUAUCACGAUAACCAUAUUAAAAUAGUGGCACCAUCUAAUUGGGUAUUCUAAAUACCAACACGCGCGGCUUUCAAUGCAUAAUGCCAUAACGGUGAUGCAAAUGUGGUAGCAUACACACAAAAUUAUUUGACCUUGGCAACACGCCAAUCAAAAAUUUCACCCGGCAACUUAUCGUGCAUAAAUAAUUAUCGUAUAAUUUGACUUAUUUCAAUUUUCUCGGCAUCGACACCUCGUUGUGCUAGAAUACAUUGCAAGUCCAUUGCCCAUUUCCUCCCUCCGAGCAUCCAAUAAUUAGGGGAUUUAAUCCAUUUCCUCAUUGUACCAUGACAGUACAUCAUAUCAAGUAUGCGGAACAUUUUCAAACCCACUGCCAUUUUCUUCUUCCGAUCUUCCAAUAGUUAAGGGAUUUAAUCCAUUUUCUCGCUAUAGCAUAUGACAGUACAUCAUAUCGAGUAUGCAAUCAUACUUUUAAAAAUUAAGAAAAUAAUAACUCGUCAAGUGUCUCAACCUUUUCAUAUUUUAAAAUUAACAUGCUUGUUUUAGAAUUUUAUGUACUUAAGUUCAUUUUUUAUUCUUAGAUUUUCAUAAAAAUAGCAGUGUCUAUUUUCUAAUAUUUUUUCAAAAAAAUAUUACGUGGCCGGUAGCAUAAUACUAACCGUCAUAGGGGAUCACAAAGUGUCUAGCAGCUGCAUGCAUUGUCUCACUUUGACAAACCAUUUAUUUCCUGUCACACUUAGCAUUUAACCCAAGCAUCUGCUCUGACGCACCGCAGCCAUUAGCACAGCUCGCCCACUUGUUUGUGCAAACAUCAGAGAGAACGAGCGUCCAUGUACAAAGCAAGCACAUUAACUCAUGGCACCGCUGUAUUUCCUCCAGACAACCGGCAUAUAGUACUGCAAUAUGCAGAGUGCACAAAUCCCAAUGUAACAAUGACCGGAGUAGAUAACGGGAGUCAUGUAGCUCGGCCUCCAAAACGCUCCUCUCGGCAUAGUUCACCUACAGCAAUGCUAGUAACACCAACCGAGCCAGCAAAUAGCACAUUCUGUCUGGCUCCCAAUUCGGCUGAUUACUUAUUCAUGAGGUCAUGUAAUAGUUGUGAAUACAUAUUUAUUGUAGUGGCAGUCAUGGUGUGACAUGCUCUAUUUUCAUCGUGGUUUAACUACCUCCAAAUUUUGCCGGAAAACUAACCAUAACCUAUUGCUAUCGGAACCUGCACGUGUGUGCUUGGAGCCUGUAGUGCAGCUGAUAGAAUGGAUGCCUCUUGAGGUCAUGUGCAAUCAAGAGAAGAUAAUCUUUCUUUAGGGUCUAAUUUUGUCAUAUUGAACUAUCUAUAUUAUAUUUGACAGGAAGUCCCCAGAUCAUGUAACAAUGUUGUCCCGUUGUCAAAAAUUACUUGAAAUUCUAACUUUCGUCAUAAGCUAAACAUUAAGUUUCGCCAAGUAUAUGCGAAAAUAUGAUAAUAUUUACAAUAUGAAAUAUAUACAGUACAAACAUAUAUUUUAUAAUGAAGCCCAUGAAAUUGAUAUUGAGUUGUAGAUGUUAAUAUAUGUUUUUCAUACACUUGGUCAAACUUAAAAAAGAUUGACUUGAAACAAAGCUAGAACUUGAAGUAAUUCGAAGGAGAAGAGUAUGGGCUAUCGUCAACAGAAAAAGUUUCUCCGACCAUCUAUGAGUAGAACAGUCCCAACCCUCCCACCCCCCCCCCCCACCCCGACCCUGACCCCAUUCCUCCAGCCGUCGCCGAGGGUCCCUCGACCCGCCGCCCCGACGAGCCCAUCCAGUCGGUUGCUGUUGUCUUCUGUCCNCGUUCCGGCGGCGCGGGCGGCGGGAUCCGGUGGUCGUUGGCGGUUGGCGGCGGCUUCUGUGGUGGCCGGUGCGCGCGAUCUGGCGCAUCCCCUCCUCCCCUGUUCGGCGUGCGGGCCAGCCUGGUCGGGCCGCGCUUCCUUGGGUCGCCGGUUCUGUACAGGAGGCACUGCUGGUGGCGGGGAUCUAGUUCGGGCGAAAUCCCUAACCGGUCAUGGCUGGCCGCGUUGACGGUGACGCCUCAGGGCGCCGUUCCCCUUCUUGGAGGCGUCGGUAUGGACUGAUCCCAUCACUUCCCCUUCCCCUAGGUCUCCUGGGCGAAAGCCCUAACUUUAUUGGGCGGCGACGGCACUCACGGCAUCAUUCCCUUCUUCAAGGCGUCGCUUUCGGAACCUUGGGACUGGGUGGCGCUUGUGGGUAGUGGGCGACGGCGGUGGUGCGGCCCUAUCCUAGCAUGGAUCAUCGUUUGACGUCAUAGUGGCGUCGAUGGUUUAGGCACCUAUCAAGACUCGCACCUCAAUCUGCUUUAAAGAUGAACCAGUGGAAGAUGGUUCUAACUGAAACUGACUGUCGCGCCAGAGAUCGCACAGCCCGCGUCUUCUGGCGCUCUAACUGAAACUGACUGAACUAACUUAGCUAAAAUGGAGCGAGUGGCUAACUGAACUAACACUACGUUAUUUCUAAAAGAACUGAAACUCUUGACACGUGCGGGCUUAGACGAGCUAACACUGGGUUCAUGACGGGACGGACGGGGACUUGCGCUUUCCAAUGUGUUGCUGAGGUUAGCAGACCCGGUAAUGUUGAUGGGAACCUACCGUGUCGACAACGACGAUGUUGAGAAUGUUCAGAAGGGCAUCUGCAAAUGGCAUGGCUCGUCUGCUGAAGCAGAACAAGAUCAGGCAAGGCUUUGCUUCGAGAGACACCUCAAAUGGCUCCCUAUCAACUGACCACUCGCUAUAAGCCUUAGGUGUAUAUUUGAUAUUUGUGAUGUAACUUUACUCACUGGUACAUAUGAUUUCCCCUCUUAUUAGGAGUGCUACCUCUUGGUUUUUAUUUUAUUUUUCUCUUUCUUAUUUCUAUUUUUUCAUUUCCAUUUUUCCAUCCUGUUUUUUUAUUUUUUCCACACUUUUCAAAUGCAUGAACUUCUUUCGAAUUUUGUGAACUUUUUAACAAAACUAUAUGAACUUAUUUUCAAAAUCGAUGAUCGUUGUUUCCAAAUUCAUAAAUUUAUUUUAAAAAUCGAUGAACCUUUCAAAUUCAUCAACCCUUUAUCAAAAUCAAUGAACUUUUUUCACAGUUUGUGAUUUUUUUUUUCAAAAUUACAUGAACUUCUUCUCAAAUUCUUGAACUUAUUAAAAAAAACAAUAUGAGUUUUGAAAGUUGAUAGAGCGAGCUAGCCUGCGUGUCGAUGGAGGGAUCGAGCGAUUCCCGACCGAGGCAAAUUCACCAUCCACCCCCAGCAGUUUGUACCCACAAAAAAAUGGUCAUGAACUUGUUGUCGAUUGUCUGUUGUGUGACAAUGUUGCGAUUGCCCAAUGUGUAACUUAACUAAUAAUCUAUCCAAUAACUUUUCUACUAUCGAAUCCCGACAAAAUAAGUUUGAUGGUGUGAAUCACAACAUUUCUUAUUGCCAGUUCAGUGGCUAACUUGUGACUGGCGUUGCUUCCUUUCCCAUGACAAGGUACAUUCAUGCUAUUGGUCUCCUUCUACAAGUCCAAUCAAGGUGAAAUGCAUGAUCAUAAAAUUGUUGAAACGGUGUACUCUGGCUGGCAUGCAGCAACUAUUUAUAUAUGCAUGCUUCUUCAGGGAUAUCAUUCCCACUAUUGUGGUAUCAUAGGAACUCCUCCACCUUAACUUCCAUUUGAGUCAUGUGAGAUUUUGGUGGAAACCAAAACUCCAGGCCAUGUUCCUCUGGAAAUACUCCCUUCGUCCGGAAAUAUAGGUUGUUGAAGGAAUCAUACCGACCAGAUGAAAAUCAAGGAAAGGACCUUAUUACCCCCCGCUACAUUUGAAUCCUCUGCCCCCCGAUCGACUUCUCCCUGCUUGAGCCACCUCCGCCUCCGUACCACCUCCACCUCCACCUCCAACCUCAGUCCCCACCUCCACCUCCGCCCCCAAGCUAUGGCCCCACCUCCACAUCCGCCCAUGUCCUCAGCCCCCACCUCCGUCCAGAUCCUCUGCCAAGGCCUCCACCUCCGCCCAGGUAUUCCUCCCAAGUCCUCGAUCCUCCACCCAAGUCCUCGACCCACUGCCCUCAGGGUCGUUGGUGUUUCUCCUUCCCUACCUAGGGUCGUGGUGCUUCUCCUUCCCCGCCACUGCCACAGGAGUUUGGCUGGUGAAUUUCUGGAAACAAUCGAUUUGGAAACAAUUAAUGCUCAACUGUUAAUUUUGGAAACAAUAAAUUUAGGAAAUGAUCAAUAAACUCAAUAAGUUUUGCAAAGGAUCAAUAAGUUGGGCAGAUGAGUAUUGCAUAAAUUUUAGAAAGAAACAAUAAAUGUUGGAGUAUUAAUUUGGAAACAAUCAAUCCUCCAAUACUGAAAAAUUGCAUGGACUAGACCUAUUAUUGCUCUAUGGCAUAUUUUGGAAAUAAGCAUAUUUUGCCAACACGAGCAAGCAAGUUCUAUGUAUAUAUGUUUGGAUCAAUGGAAUGAGAUUACUCCCUAUUACUGUACAUAUGUGUAUAUACUUCCCGUGAAAGGCCAAACAUAUGUGUAUAUACUCCCUGUUACAGACUGUACAAGUGAAUUUCGCAGAAUUUUCAGUGCAAAAUGUAUGCAUAUAUACUCCGCGUAAAAUUGUAUAAACGAUUUUGGCAGAAUUUUCAGUGCAACAUGUAUGUAUAUUUACAGACUGUACUACGGACAAAACAUGUGUGUAUAACGAGUGUACAGACUUGCUACUAAAUUUGGCAGAAUUUUCAGUGCAAAAUAUAUGUAUAUAUGCUCCCUGUAAAACUGUAUAUAAAAAUUUGUAUAUACUCCCUGUAAACUGUGUAUACAUAAUGUGUUUAUACAGAAGAAUGCCAAAAUGUGCUACUCCCUGUAAAACUGUAUAGAUAAUCCAAUAUGACAAGAGUAUAAGAAUGCCAAAUGUGUGUAUAGAGAAGAAGGCCAAAUGGAGUAAAAAUGUAGGUCUUGAUUCCUUUCCAAAAUUUUAGAAAUAAAUAUUGUACCGCAGACUUGGAAUACCAUGUUAAUUACCUGAAACUUAACAGCACUAAAACUUGUAGUACCACUCAAAUAGAGUAAAGGGUUAAAUGAACUACUCCAUUUGGAUUUUACCAGGAGUAAAGGCAAAAUAUUCAGCCAGCAGAAAAUUUUAGUUAGCCGGAGUAAUACACAAAUGUUCAGUUAACCGGAGUAAUACAGAAAACAUAAGGACAAGCAAGUUUGUCAAGAUGACUCAAGCGUCCCAAACAUAUGACGCUACAGAUCGAGUUCACAAGAUGACCCACCAAGUCUUCUCACAGAAAUACUCCUUUAUCAGCAACUAUGUCAAGUGCACACAAAUAUUUACAAGAAUAUCUUAUAUCUUAUCUUAUCUAUAAUCUAUAAUCUCUCUAUAACUAAACUAAUUAAGGACUCUCCAGAAAUUCUCACGUUAAUCAGUAAUUAGGAGCGCUCGUGGGCCAAGUUAUUACGGUGUAGAUUAAUCCUACAAAUUUUGACGUUAAUGAGUAAUUAGGAGCCGUUAAUCUCGUAGGGCCGAGUUAUUACGGUGUAAAUUAAUCCUACAAAUUUUGAUGUUAAUAAAAAAUGAUUAUGCACUCUCCUUCUCUCCUAAUCACUCACUCCUUAUCUCAUAAUCUCUCACGACUCCCCUUUCUGAAUAUUUCUAUGUCACCAAAAAAAAAAAACAAUUUCGAUCUCACAAACGAUAUGUUGAGUUUCAACGCAGCUUUUCUACAUCUCACAAACGAUCGUUCUAGAGGGGCUCUUCUCCUCGUCACGCCCAUGUACGCCGCGGUCACACAUCCUUACCUCCCCUUUAUACCCAGCUUACUCUGCCUAUGAUCAUCAGAUGGAUCAAAGCAUGCAUGCAUGACGUAUUUAACUUAAUAUAAGGAGAUCCGCUGGGAGAUAAGUUGUUGUGCUCUACUUUCCUUCAUCUGUAAAAAAUCAAGGUAAUUGAACCGAGUUGGUUUCAUCAGCUACAUGUGCAAUACACGGGAAUUCAUUACCUCUAUAUAUUUAUUCCAUGAGCACACAAAUGGCAGAUCGGAUUGAGGCUGGGAGGCUAACGCGGAAUUGCAUUGACGAUACUGAUGGCCAUGAUCAAUCAAACGUACACGGACACGUUCAACUCAGUCGAAGUGCCCCAACUGCAGGGCGUUAGCACAUAGACGGAGGCUUAGGUAAGGUCCACACGAUGAGAUUAUACCCUGCAUGUCGCUGCAUGACAGAAUCACUCAACGAGAGGAUCACUGUUAUGGUUGACGAACAGAGCAUGUUAUGGAAUCCAAUUUCUAGGUGUGCAUGUUGUGGUUCUACGUUCUGCACAUCAGCAAUGGACAGGAGCAUCCUAUGAUGGAGUCCAAAGAAAAAUCCUCAAAACAGUUGAACGUCCAAGCUAUGCUAUCGUCUCAUCAUUGGAGUAUAGAAAAACUGCUUUGAAAACUGAGACCGCUCAAGAUGGUAUGAGAUGUUUCACUUCGCAUGCUUAUUAUUCUAUUUUCUUCGUGUUCUAAUUGGUGGUAGUUUCGUUUCUUCCUCUUUUUACAGAUUGUAUAUAUAUUAUAAAACAAUUUAUAGCCCGAGAAAGCAAUAACAUCGGAGACCGAGCGGUCUGGACGUAAGUGGAGUGAGAGAACAUGGCAUUGUUCAGGGCAGCGUUGUCGGACACCUUGUUUCGCAAGCCACACCUGUCGCCAUCCAGUUCAAUAGACCACCAAAAUCAGGACUUCAUACAUGCACUUGAGCUAUGCAAUCAUACAUGCCCUUCUGCAAGCAUGUAUGUAUGCAUGGACCGAAGUACAUAUCAAUUUCGACGUAUGUAAUCAUACAUGCACUUCUAUAAGCAUGUAUGUAUGCAUGGUCCGAAGUAUGUGUUGGUUGAUCUGUGAAGGACAGGCUACAAUAGGUACAUUUAAAAAAAUAAUACGGUACAAUUUAUAGAUUAAAUUAUCACAACCUUUCCUUCAAACUAAAAACCCUAUAAUCUACCUUCGUAGUACUUCUCCUUCCACAAAGAAUUGUCUAAAACAAAAAUCCAAAUAUGGAAAGUAGUAUUUGAACAUGAUAUGUUCUCCUUAGGACUUGCUAUGAUUAAAAGGUAUUCGAUCUACCGCAAGUUAUUUCCUCUUUUCAUGUCGAAUGGUUGAACCUUGCAGAAUUCUUAUGUAGUGUUCUACGAUACUAACCCAUACAAUUGAUUUGCUGGCAUGAUCAUGACCGGACCUUCUAUGACCUUGACGUACAAGGAGAAAAAGUUGUACGAAAAGACACGCAAGCAGUUGUUUCAGGCAUCCUGUUCUAAUCCCCUGUCAUAGUCAAUGUGCAUCAAGUCAUGGGUUAGAGUCUAUAAGGAGCCUGUCCAAUUGCAUACACUAGAUUUGAUCUGGGGAGUGUUACAUUUUAACAAAAAAAUCAUAUACUUUUUUAACCGGAUGAAUAAAAGAUGCCAGUGAAAUAGAUGUACACCAUUGAAGUUGUGUGUUCUUCUAUUUCAUGUUUUGUACAAUGUAAGUGAGAACACAGCUUAACAACUACAUCACAAAUAGUCUAUUUAAGGUUUCUAAACUUUAGUAUAUAGUGUUAGACAUAUAUAUUCUUGGUUCGUCAUAUGGCAAUCACAAGAGUACUAGACACCAUGAUAUAUGUAUAUAUAGUCGAAAAUGGAAUCACUAAAAAGACUUAUAUUUAAUAACGGAGAGAGUAUAUAAAAAGCACAUGCAGCUAACCGUCCAUGCUUUAAAAGCUUCACUACAGAGUUUGAGCACCAGAAUUUGUUAGAUGGAAAAGCGAUCUAGCAAUAGGGCACCUCAAGCAUGCAUGUGUCAUAUAUGCUUUUUACCUACAGAUUCCACACCGGCCGGCCAUACCAUACGGGAUGGGAGACUCGUGUAGAUCAGAUAUAUAUGUAUGACAAAAAGAUGUACGCAUGAGAAACGAGGGGAUAUAUGCAUGACAAGGAGAUAUAUGCAUGAAAAAUGACGGACCUCUGUGCCACUGUGAUGUGAUAUGUACAGCUCUCUCUCUAUAUAUAUAUUUCCACUGAGAUAACUGUUAUCAUCGACAUGACCUUUGCCGUCCCCAAAUUUAGCAUAUACAAUUGUUAUCCUUCGCCUUCUCCAAAUUUAGCAUAUACAACUGUUAUCAUCGACAUGGAUCCCAAACACGAUUGCUGCUUCUCAUAACUGUUAUCAUCGGCAUGACCUUUGCCGUCCCUU
This 27841-nucleotide long non-coding RNA is filed under the name Hordeum vulgare. RNAcentral describes it as "long non-coding RNA (HVUL_LNC020802)". The record is from RNAcentral. Lineage: Eukaryota; Viridiplantae; Streptophyta; Magnoliopsida; Poales; Poaceae.